GACGAACGCUGGCGGCGUGCUUAACACAUGCAAGUCGAACGAUGAAGAAGAGAAACGCGAACUUCGGUUCAAAUUUCACUUCGGAUUAGUGGCAGACGGGUUAGUAACGCGUGAGCAACCUACCUCUUACAAAGGGAUAGCCUCGGGAAACCGUGAUUAAUACCAUAUGACACAUUCAUAAGGCAUCUUAAGAAUGUUAAAGCUACGGCGGUAAGAGAUGGGCUCGCGUCCCAUUAGCUAGUUGGUGAGGUAACGGCCCACCAAGGCGACGAUGGGUAACCGGCCUGAGAGGGUGAACGGUCACAUUGGAACUGAGACACGGUCCAAACUCCUACGGGAGGCAGCAGUGGGGAAUAUUGCACAAUGGAGGGAACUCUGAUGCAGCGACGCCGCGUGAGAGAUGAAGGAAUUCGUUUCGUAAAGCUCUGUUCUAUGGGAAGAAAAGGACUGUACCAUAGGAGAAAGCCCCGGCUAAAUACGUG
This 482-nucleotide ribosomal RNA is filed under the name uncultured bacterium. Its description in RNAcentral is "partial 16S ribosomal RNA". It matches the Rfam family "Bacterial small subunit ribosomal RNA", at positions 28 to 507 of the family's 1533-position model. The record is from RNAcentral.